AUAACGCGUGAGAAUCUAGCUUCAGGUUCGGGACAACAUUGGGAAACCGAUGCUAAUACCGGAUGUGCCGUGAGGUGAAAGGCUUGCUGCCUGAAGAUGAGCUCGCGUCUGAUUAGCUAGUUGGUAGUGUAAGGGACUACCAAGGCGACGAUCAGUAGCUGGUCUGAGAGGAUGAUCAGCCACACUGGAACUGAGACACGGUCCAGACUCCUACGGGAGGCAGCAGUGGGGAAUUUUCCGCAAUGGGCGAAAGCCUGACGGAGCAAUACCGCGUGAGGGAGGAAGGCUCUUGGGUUGUAAACCUCUUUUCUCAAGGAAGAAGUUCUGACGGUACUUGAGGAAUCAGCAUCGGCUAACUCCGUGCCAGCAGCCGCGGUAAUACGGAGGAUGCAAGCGUUAUCCGGAAUGAUUGGGCGUAAAGCGUCCGCAGGUGGUUGUGUGUGUCUAUUGUCAAAGCAUCAUGCUUAACAUGAUAAGGGCAGUGGAAACUACACAACUAGAGUGCGUUCGGGGCAGAGGGAAUUCCUGGUGUAGCGGUGAAAUGCGUAGAGAUCAGGAAGAACACCGGUGGCGAAAGCGCUCUGCUAGGCCGUAACUGACACUGAGAGGACGAAAGCUAGGGGAGCGAAUGGGAUUAGAACCCCCAGUUCUCACGCGUUACC
This 662-nucleotide ribosomal RNA is filed under the name Mastigocladus laminosus PUPCCC 515.6. RNAcentral describes it as "bacterial SSU rRNA". It matches the Rfam family "Bacterial small subunit ribosomal RNA", at positions 110 to 806 of the family's 1533-position model. The record is from RNAcentral. Lineage: Bacteria; Bacillati; Cyanobacteriota; Cyanophyceae; Nostocales; Hapalosiphonaceae.